RNAcentral lists this ribosomal RNA (433 nucleotides) under uncultured bacterium. RNAcentral describes it as "partial 16S ribosomal RNA". It matches the Rfam family "Bacterial small subunit ribosomal RNA", at positions 29 to 507 of the family's 1533-position model. The record is from RNAcentral.
AGCGAACGCUGGCGGCAGGCCUAACACAUGCAAGUCGAACGGACCCUUCGGGGUUAGUGGCGGACGGGUGAGUAACACGUGGGAACGUGCCUUUAGGUUCGGAAUAGCUCCUGGAAACGGGUGGUAAUGCCGAAUGUGCCCUUCGGGGGAAAGAUUUAUCGCCUUUAGAGCGGCCCGCGUCUGAUUAGCUAGUUGGUGAGGUAACGGCUCACCAAGGCGACGAUCAGUAGCUGGUCUGAGAGGAUGACCAGCCACACUGGGACUGAGACACGGCCCAGACUCCUACGGGAGGCAGCAGUGGGGAAUCUUGCGCGAUGGGCGAAAGCCUGACGCAGCCAUGCCGCGUGAAUGAUGAAGGUCUUAGGAUUGUAAAAUUCUUUCACCGGGGACGAUAAUGACGGUACCCGGAGAAGAAGCCCCGGCUAACUUCGUG